Molecule: ribosomal RNA, 326 nt
Filed under: uncultured eukaryote
Lineage: Eukaryota
Description: partial 18S ribosomal RNA
Rfam family: Eukaryotic small subunit ribosomal RNA
Source: RNAcentral
CCCUUAGAUGUUCUGGGCUGCACGCGCGCUACACUGAAGCGUUCAACGAGUAUUCACCUUGCCCGGGAGGGUUGGGUAAUCUUUUGAAAACGCUUCGUGAUGGGGAUAGAUUAUUGCAAUUAUUCAUCUUCAACGAGGAAUUCCUAGUAAACGCAAGUCAUCAGCUUGCAUUGAUUACGUCCCUGCCCUUUGUACACACCGCCCGUCGCACCUACCGAUUGAAUGGUCCGGUGAAAUUCUCGGACGCGGACUAGCGAUGUUAAUUCGGAGCUUGACUGUGAAAGUUAAUUAAACCUUACCAUUUAGAGGAAGGUGAAGUCGUAACA